This 233-nucleotide ribosomal RNA is filed under the name uncultured bacterium. RNAcentral describes it as "partial small subunit ribosomal RNA". It matches the Rfam family "Bacterial small subunit ribosomal RNA", at positions 26 to 285 of the family's 1533-position model. The record is from RNAcentral.
AGGACGAACGCUGGCGGCGUGCUUAACACAUGCAAGUCGAACGAGGUGCUUGCACCUAGUGGCGACCGGGUGAGUAACACGUGACUAACCUACCUUCGAGUGGGGGAUAACAUCGGGAAACCGAUGCUAAUACCGCAUAACAUCGCAAGAUCAAAGCAGCAAUGCGCUGGAAGAGGGGGUCGCGGCUGAUUAGCUAGUUGGCGGGGUAACGGCCCACAAGGCGAAGAUCGGUA